Molecule: ribosomal RNA, 301 nt
Filed under: uncultured bacterium
Lineage: Bacteria
Description: partial 16S ribosomal RNA
Rfam family: Bacterial small subunit ribosomal RNA
Source: RNAcentral
CAGUAGCCGCGGUAAUACGUAGGUGGCAAGCGUUGUCCGGAAUUAUUGGGCGUAAAGGGCUCGCAGGCGGUUUCUUAAGUCUGAUGUGAGAGCCCCCGGCUCAACCGGGGAGGGUCAUUGGAAACUGGGAAACUUGAGUGCAGAAGAGGAGAGUGGAAUUCCACGUGUAGCGGUGAAAUGCGUAGAGACGUGGAGGAACACCAGUGGCGAAGGCGACUCUCUGGUCUGUAACUGACGCUGAGGAGCGAAAGCGUGGGGAGCGAACAGGAUUAGAUACCCGCGUAGUCCCUGUCUCUUAUAA